GAUGAACGCUGGCGGCGUGCCUAAUACAUGCAAGUCGAGCGAACGGACGAGAAGCUUGCUUUUCUGAUGUUAGCGGCGGACGGGUGAGUAACACGUGGAUAACCUACCUAUAAGACUGGGAUAACUUCGGGAAACCGGAGCUAAUACCGGAUAAUAUUUUGAACCGCAUGGUUCAAAAGUGAAAGACGGUCUUGCUGUCACUUAUAGAUGGAUCCGCGCUGCAUUAGCUAGUUGGUAAGGUAACGGCUUACCAAGGCAACGAUGCAUAGCCGACCUGAGAGAGUGAUAGGCCACACUGGAACGGAGACACGGUCCAGACUCCUACGGGAGGCAGCAGUAGGGAAUCUUCCGCAAUGGGCGAAAGCCUGACGGAGCAACGCCGCGUGAGUGAUGAAGGUCUUCGGAUCGUAAAACUCUGUUAUUAGGGAAGAACAUAUGUGUAAGUAACUGUGCACAUCUUGACGGUACCGAAUCAGAAAGCCACGGCUAACUACGUG
Molecule: ribosomal RNA, 497 nt
Filed under: uncultured bacterium
Lineage: Bacteria
Description: partial 16S ribosomal RNA
Rfam family: Bacterial small subunit ribosomal RNA
Source: RNAcentral